UACGAAGGGGGCUAGCGUUGCUCGGAAUCACUGGGCGUAAAGGGUGCGUAGGCGGGUCUUUAAGUCAGGGGUGAAAUCCCGGGGCUCAACCCCGGAACUGCCUUUGAUACUGGUAGUCUCGAGUCCGGAAGAGGUGAGUGGAAUUCCGAGUGUAGAGGUGAAAUUCGUAGAUAUUCGGAGGAACACCAGUGGCGAAGGCGGCUCACUGGUCCAUUACUGACGCUGAGGUGCGAAAGCGUGGGGAGCAAACAGG
RNAcentral lists this ribosomal RNA (253 nucleotides) under uncultured bacterium. RNAcentral's name for it is "partial 16S ribosomal RNA". It matches the Rfam family "Bacterial small subunit ribosomal RNA", at positions 524 to 776 of the family's 1533-position model. The record is from RNAcentral.